Long non-coding RNA from Motacilla alba alba, 504 nucleotides. RefSeq lists it as uncharacterized. NCBI's taxonomy places the organism in Eukaryota, Metazoa, Chordata, Aves, Passeriformes, Motacillidae. The transcript is spliced from 3 exons. The record is from RefSeq and is a predicted model, not a curated record.
UUUCAGUGGAUGCACAUGCGCUCACAACCCAGUGAUCUGUUGACUCAAAUGCCGUCAUGGACAUAAGCAGCAUAAACUUUGCCUAAGCACGAGCAGCUGUCACCUUGUGAGACACAUGCUCAGAACCAGGUGCGUGUCACUUCAGUAAUGCUGGAGGAUAUGACUUUGACUUAGCCAUAAAUGGAAGGAGUGGGGACGGACCUAGGGAAGAUAUGGACACUGCAGCAGACAGAACCCCUCUGGAACUGAAAAGAGAGACCUGGAAACUCCAAAUGGCAAGAGUGAUACAGGGUGACAGCUGGAGAGAGAAAAAUCCAGUCCACUGCAGACCUGAUUUGUACAAGAAUUGCACACAUCCACUACCUGUCUCCAGCCAAGGAAUAUAUUACACAAAUAUGGAAGACUGUAAACGUGAAUGGCUGGGGUGAGGGAGCAGAAGCAGUCACUCCAUCUGUAUUUCAGAAUUUAGUGCAACCAUAAAAACCAUUCCUGAUAAAAUACUAG